Hydra vulgaris (swiftwater hydra) is the source of this 329-nucleotide long non-coding RNA. RefSeq lists it as uncharacterized. The record is from RefSeq and is a predicted model, not a curated record. Lineage: Eukaryota; Metazoa; Cnidaria; Hydrozoa; Anthoathecata; Hydridae.
UAAUUAGUGUUGGACUUUAGGUACCUAAUUUCGAUUUUUUUGUUGUUGUUUUUUUUGGUAAGCAAAAUCCGGUAGGCGCCGAAAUCCGGAUAAGGGGGCGUUUCAACUAAAAAUCUUAUUUUGAAUUAUUGUGAUAUAUAUUAUUAGAUUUAAAAAAAUAUGGCAACAUAUAGCAAAAAUGUGUUAGAUGCCCUAACAGAAUAUCCUGCCCGGCUUUUUGUUGAUUUUUUGAGAUUUCUCGAAUCUACACAGCCCAUCACUGUUCCUUCUACAUCUGCUAUAAGGGUUACAUCUUCAGCACCUACUAUAACUAUUCCAUGUGUUCAACC